UGCUGCCCUAUUUUUCAGAUCUGCUGGAGAUGUGGCGGUGCAGGAUGCAAGAUGCAAGCAUGCAAGAUACGAUAACAACCACAAGCGAACCACCCAGCCAGCGAAUACCUACUUGCCAGCAAGAAACCAGGUUUUUUUUCUUUUCUUUUCCAGAUAGCUGUAUGUAGGAACCCGCAUUUUUGACUUUGGCAUAUAGGUUGGCAAGUAGGAAUGACCCAUGUCUACCAUGCUAGUGGCGUCGCUAAAGCCUGCUGCGUUUGCAGCUUGAGACGCAUUUGUUGCAGCAAAAGCUCUCUAACUUUACAUAGAGUACGGAGCACAUACAGAUUAGAUAGGCGAAGAUCUUGCAUCACAAUCUGACUAACUCUUAGUGUGAAAAUUCAACAAAGAUUUUCAUGGGGUAAACACAGCGCUUUGCUUUUGUUUUUCUGUCUUGUUUUGAUUUGUCCUUUCUUUCUUUCUUUCUUUCUGGGGGUCUUCGUAAUUCAGCUUGUGACUUCCUCUAUUAUGCAAGCUAGGUAGCAUCUUUCAGCUUUGUAUGGAGUACAGUACUUGCAGCUCCUUCAAUAAAGUUGCAUAUGGAUAUGGAAACAAGAAUAGGCUUUGUUCUCGCGUGU
RNAcentral lists this small RNA (617 nucleotides) under Histoplasma capsulatum var. duboisii H88. RNAcentral describes it as "Histoplasma capsulatum H88 hypothetical RNA". The record is from RNAcentral. Lineage: Eukaryota; Fungi; Ascomycota; Eurotiomycetes; Onygenales; Ajellomycetaceae.